This 120-nucleotide ribosomal RNA is filed under the name Helianthus annuus (common sunflower). The record is from RNAcentral. Lineage: Eukaryota; Viridiplantae; Streptophyta; Magnoliopsida; Asterales; Asteraceae.
AGUUGCGAUCAUACCAGCACUAAUGCACCGGAUCCCAUCAGAACUCCGCAGUUAAGCGUACUUGGGCGAGAGUAGUACUAGGAUGGGUGACCCCCUGGGAAGUCCUCGUGUUGCAACCCC